CACACAGUUUCUUUUUUGAGGCCCUGUAAUUGGAAUGAGUCCACUUUAAAUCCUUUAACGAGGAUCCAUUAGAGGGCAAGUCUGGUGCCAGCAGCUGCGGUAAUCCAGCUCCAA
RNAcentral lists this non-coding RNA (114 nucleotides) under Mus musculus (house mouse). Its description in RNAcentral is "Eukaryotic small subunit ribosomal RNA". It matches the Rfam family "Eukaryotic small subunit ribosomal RNA", at positions 482 to 594 of the family's 1831-position model. The record is from Rfam by way of RNAcentral. Lineage: Eukaryota; Metazoa; Chordata; Mammalia; Rodentia; Muridae.